Molecule: ribosomal RNA, 337 nt
Filed under: Gardnerycteris crenulata
Lineage: Eukaryota; Metazoa; Chordata; Mammalia; Chiroptera; Phyllostomidae
Description: Gardnerycteris crenulatum partial 12S ribosomal RNA
Rfam family: Bacterial small subunit ribosomal RNA
Source: RNAcentral
AACUCUAAUUAAUAGACUUACGGCGUAAAACGUGUUUAAGAGCUACACAAAUAAAGUCAAACUUUAGCUACGCUGUAAAAAGUCCCAGCUAUCGUAAGCCCUAUCACGAAAGUAACUUUAAACUAUCUGAAUACACGACAGCUGAGACCCAAACUGGGAUUAGAUACCCCACUAUGCUCAGCCCUAAACCUAAAGGGCUACUUUAACAAAACCCUUCGCCAGAGUACUACUAGCUAAAGCUUAAAACUCAAAGGACUUGGCGGUGCUUCACACCCUUCUAGAGGAGCCUGUUCUAUAAUCGAUAAACCCCGAUUAACCUCACCAACCCUUGCCAAAU